Molecule: transfer RNA, 68 nt
Filed under: Corallianassa coutierei
Lineage: Eukaryota; Metazoa; Arthropoda; Malacostraca; Decapoda; Callianassidae
Description: tRNA-Thr
Rfam family: tRNA
About the family: Transfer RNA (tRNA) molecules are approximately 80 nucleotides in length. Their secondary structure includes four short double-helical elements and three loops (D, anti-codon, and T loops).
Source: RNAcentral
GUUUUGGUAGUUUAAGAAAAACUUUGGUCUUGUAAACCGAAAUUAAAGAAUAGUUUCUUUUCAAAACU